AGCUUGACACUGAACAUUGAGCCUUGAUGUGUAGGAUAGGUGGGAGGCUUUGAAGUGUGGACGCCAGUCUGCAUGGAGCCAACCUUGAAAUACCACCCUUUAAUGUUUGAUGUUCUAACGUUGCCCCGUGAUCCGGGGUGCGGACAGUGUCUGGUGGGUAGUUUGACUGGGGCGGUCUCCUCCCAAAGCGUAACGGAGGAGCACGAAGGUUGGCUAAGCAUGGUCGGACAUCAUGCGGUUAGUGCAAAGGCAUAAGCCAGC
This 261-nucleotide ribosomal RNA is filed under the name Providencia stuartii. RNAcentral describes it as "partial 23S ribosomal RNA". It matches the Rfam family "Bacterial large subunit ribosomal RNA", at positions 2108 to 2368 of the family's 2925-position model. The record is from RNAcentral. Lineage: Bacteria; Pseudomonadati; Pseudomonadota; Gammaproteobacteria; Enterobacterales; Morganellaceae.